GACGAACGCUGGCGGCGUGCUUAACACAUGCAAGUCGAACGGAAAGGCCCUGCUUUUGUGGGGUGCUCGAGUGGCGAACGGGUGAGUAACACGUGAGUAACCUGCCCUUGACUUUGGGAUAUCUUCUGGAAACUGGGGCUAAUACCGGAUAGGAGCUUCUGCUGCAUGGUGGGGGUUGGAAAGAUUCGGCGGUUGGGGAUGGACUCGCGGCUUAUCAGCUUGUUGGGGUGGUAGGGGCUUACCAAGGGUUUGACGGGUAGCCGGCCUGAGAGGGUGACCGGCCACAUUGGGACUGAGAUACGGCCCAGACUCCUACGGGAGGCAGCAGUGGGGAAUAUUGCGGAAUGGGGGGAAGCCUGAUGCAGCAACGCCGCGUGCGGGAUGACGGCCUUCGGGUUGUAAACCGCUUUCGCCGGUGCCGAAGCGUGAGUGACGGUAAUGGGUAAGGAAGCCCCGGCUAACUACGUG
This 468-nucleotide ribosomal RNA is filed under the name uncultured bacterium. RNAcentral describes it as "partial 16S ribosomal RNA". It matches the Rfam family "Bacterial small subunit ribosomal RNA", at positions 28 to 507 of the family's 1533-position model. The record is from RNAcentral.